CAUCUGGGCAGUUUCUGCCUCUUGGUUAUUGUGAAUAGAGUUGCUAUGGACAUGUGUGUACAUGUAUUUGUUUGAGUACUUGUUUCCAAUUCUUAUUUCACCUAGGAGUAGAAUUGCUGGGCUGCAAUUGUUAUAAACUAAAAUUAUAUUCAGUUUAGAAAAGAACUUCUUUAGGAAAGACUUUAGAAAGAACUGCUAAAUGUUCUAAUUUUGUAUCUUGCGGUCUUUUCCUCUGAUAAAAAUGAUACCAUUUAGAGCCAGUGAAUAACUUGCCAUGCAGUUUCCUGAUUUCUCUCCCCCUGGCUGUUGCCUUUACUAGUUGGAGCAUUUCGGUAAUGCAUAACCAUGUUUCUCUUUUUGACUUUCUCUUCACAGUCUACAAUGAUUAUUCCAAACCUCCUUCACUGGCCUCAAAAUUAACUUUCCCUUUACCCAUCUCACUUGGAACAGAUGACCUUUCUUUCAACUUCUCCAAAAAGUUAAAAGCCAUCAUCUGGGAACUCCCUAGAUGUCCCAGGCCAAAGCUGUAAAGCUUCUUGCAGCAGUAGCCAAUCCUCAUUGCCCUCCUAUUAUGAUAAAGGAAGUGUCUCUUAAUAAAGGAUGUCUUUGUACGUCUGUCCCCUUCCUACUGCCUUCAGGGUACCUGCUAUCUCUUAAUGCUCUUGUUCAUUCUCUCAUUUGUAUUCAUUCUCAUUUUUUUCUUCUCCCCUUCCCUCUCUCUUGCUCUUCAUCAAUUAUAAACUUGCUCAAGUAUUUUCCAACUUCAAGUUUCACACCCUCAAGUUUUCACUUUCUCCCUUGCUCUUCCUGGGCAGCAUCUUGAAAGCAUGCUUACACUUAGUGCACUCACUCUUGCCUCUCGUUCACUCCUGACCUCCUCCAGCCUGACUUACAUCCAUCACUUCACAAAAGUAGCUCCUCCAGGGAUUAAAACAGCAGCAUUUGACACACUUGAUCAUGCCUCCUUUAAAAACUCUUACACACACCCUCCUGGUUCCUCUGCCUUUUUAGGCAGCUUCCUCUGCCCUCCUUUGUUGGAUCUUCCUUCCCUAUCUGACCUGUAACAGGGCUUCUAUUUGUUGGCUUUCUUAAGAGCUCAGUCCUGGGCUUUCUUUUCCUCUCUAUUUUUAUUCUCUACCUCAGCAAACUCCUGUGGCUUCACAUACUACAUAAGCGACAACUUCCAAAUUCCAGUCUCUGCCAAGACCUUCUGAAAUCCAGACCCAUGUAGCCAACUGCCAUUUUGACAUCUCCACUUCCUAUUCAAACGUGCCCAAGACUACGCUUCCUAAUAGCCAGCAUGCAUUCCUUAUCUCAGUAAAUGGUCUACCCAGGUGCUUAAGCCUGAAACCCAGGAUCAUCUUUGUGACCUCCUCCUCCUUCAAACACACUAUCUACUCCCUUACCAUACACUGUUGAUUUUAUUCUAAAUGUAUCUGAAAUCUAUUCAUUACAUCUCUCAGCCAUGAUGGAGUUGAAGAAAAAAAUAAGUCCUGUGCUCAAAGUUUCUAUCCUGGAACAUCAGAAAAUUCUAUGAAAUUUAGAAAUAAAUGUUUGGUUUCAAGAGAAAGCUUACCCUGAACUUUUGACAACCACGGUAAAUAUUUCCCCAUUGAGUCAGAAACCCAGCCCCAUUAUCCUCACUAAUUCUUUUAUAUCUUACAGUUCUUCACUGCUUAUUAGUUAUUUAUAUUAUUUGACAUGAUAUCACUAGUACCCUUAGGUGAGAGGAGGUAAUCUUUGUUUCUGAAUUUAAAUUUACCUUAAAACUUAAUGUUAUACAUUGUGGGGAAGGGGAAAAAUAAAAAGGUACUAUCUUACCUUGUAAGCAGGACUACAGAUUGGCACAACCAUUUGGAAGGCAAAGUGACCCUAUCAAAGUUUUAAGGGUGUGUUCCAUUAUUAGAAAUUUAAUUUAUAGGUAUAUCAUCAAAGGAUACCCCCAAAAUGAAUGAGGAUAUUCAUUGUAGCAUUAUUUGUAAUAGCAAAAAAAUCUGGUAGCUUAAGUAUAUGAAAUACAUCCAUAUGUUAGAUACAGCCUUUAAGAAAGAGCUAGAUUCCGAGUUCCGACCCGGACCCGUACGCUGCUAUGCUGACGUGGCUCCCGGAAGUAAGGCCGGCGUAGGGCCGCCAUGUUGCAGCAGGAUAGUAAUGAUGACACUAAAGGUGUUUCACUGUUUAAUGUGGAAGAGGAGACGACCAAUAGACCAAGAAAAGUCAAAAUAAGACAUCCAGUAGCAUCGUUUUUCCACUUAUUCUUUCGAGUCAGUGCAAUCAUCGUCUAUCUUCUUUGUGAGUUGCUCAGCAGCAGCUUUAUUUCCUGUAUGGUAACAAUUAUCUUCUUGUUGUCAUGUGACUUUUGGGCAGUGAAGAAUGUCACAGGUAGACUGAUGGUUGGCCUACGUUGGUGGAAUCACACUGUGAAGAUGGAAAGAGCCAUUGGGUGUUUGAAUCUAGAAAGGAGUCCUCUGAAGAGAAUAAAACUGUGUCAGAGGCUGAAUCAGGAAUCUUUUGGUUGGGACUUACUGCCUGUCCAGUGCUGUGGGUGAUAUUUGCCUUUAGUGCACUCUUCUCCUUCAGAGUAAAGUGGUUGCCAGUGGUUAUCAUGGGUGUGGUGCUACAAGGUGCCAACCUCUAUGGUUACAUCAGGUGUAAGGUGGGCAGCAGAAAGAAUUUAACCAGCAUGGCUACUUUAUAUUUUGGAAAGCAAUUUUUAAGACAAAACACUGGAGAUGAUCAGACUUCCUGAAUAGAGAAAGCUUAUGUGCUUUGUUACAUUGGGGAACAACUGAAGAGAUAAGUCUUGACUCCGAACUGAACCUUUUAGAGCUUAGUCCAUGUUGCAACGAGGAGUGUUGGCUUUGUUUUUCCACUUAAAAACUUCAUUUAUAAAAAGGAAAAAUAGUUUUCAUAUUAAGUUUUUAUUUCCUUUCCAGCAGUUGGGGCGAGAAAGUAUAUGUUGGCACUAGAAACAUUGUCAAGAUUUGUUCUGUGGUGUAGGUAUGCACAUUCCAUAGGUAUGCACACAGCCAUGUAAUAUCAGUAUAUCCCAAGUUAAUGAAAGUGUUCAUUUACAUAGGUAAUGGAGACCUUUGCAUUUUGAUCCAUAGAACAUAGGAUGUUCUUAAUCUGUCUCAAAGCUCUGUAUGUUUACAUAUUAUUUCUGUAGAUUGUUUUCAGGAGAAAGUUUUGCUUCCAUGGUAAGAGCGAGCACUUUGGCUUCUGUAUAAGUUAGAAAUAAUUGUUAGUUUUUAAUAUGUACUUUGUGGGGAAAUUUCUUAGAUGUAUGCAAGCAAGUGAAAACAAUUAGGGCCAGUGGUAUUAACUACUUUAUAAAAUUUUGUUUUUAUUUGUAAGAAGUCAUCUACUUAAGGCCCAGUUAAUAUAGAUGGAAUCAUCGUAGUUUAAGGAAUACCCAGAGACUGCUGCUGUUCUAUUUAUUUUACAGAAAGCAUAGCUAGAUUGAAAGCUCUUCAGUGGACCUUGAGCUAAUAGAUCUUUUACCACUAAAAGAGCAUUGUUCUCAUGUCAUAAUGAGAAUAAGCAUUUACAUACUUGGCAUAAUAAAUGCCUAAAAGACAUUUUAUUUUCUGAAUCUAUUUUUUCUUGCUAUAAUGGGGAUAUUGUAAAUUAUGCAUUUGUAUUAAUGAUAUUUCUUAAAGCAAUCUAUGUAACUGUAAACUAAACCAAUCUACAAACUAUCGUAGGCAUCUGUAAAUUCUGUUGUAGGUAUUAUAAACCUUGUUGAAGUCUUAAUCAGCAGAUUAUGUUGUGAAUAUAUUUGUACAUUGUUAAAAUAGUUUUUAAGAUUAUUUGUUUAAUUGAAUAAGUGUCUUAUUGGAGUGAUAGCUUUGAAGGUGCAAAACUUUAUAUUUGUAUAAAAUUCUACUGUUUACAAGG
RNA transcript from Nomascus leucogenys (northern white-cheeked gibbon), 3900 nucleotides. It is a transcript of the gene named Golgi apparatus membrane protein TVP23 homolog B pseudogene, with no coding region annotated. NCBI's taxonomy places the organism in Eukaryota, Metazoa, Chordata, Mammalia, Primates, Hylobatidae. The record is from RefSeq and is a predicted model, not a curated record. The transcript has a single exon.